GAUGAACGCUAGCUACAGGCUUAACACAUGCAAGUCGAGGGGUAACGAGAGGAAAGCUUGCUUUCCUUGUCGACGACCGGCGAACGGGUGAGUAACGCGUAUCCAACCUGCCCCCAACUAGGGAAUAACCUUGCGAAAGUAAGACUAAUACCCUAUAAUUUCCUCAGAUGUCAUCUGACGAGGACUAAAGAUUUAUCGUUUGUGGAUGGGGUUGCGUCUGAUUAGCUUGUUGGCGGGGUAACGUCCCACCAAGGCAACGAUCAGUAGGGGUUCUGAGAGGAAGGUCCCCCACAUUGGAACUGAGACACGGUCCAAACUCCUACGGGAGGCAGCAGUGAGGAAUAUUGGUCAAUGGGCGGAAGCCUGAACCAGCCAAGUAGCGUGCAGGAUGACGGCCCUAUGGGUUGUAAACUGCUUUUAUACAGGAAUAAAGUUAGCCACGUGUGGUUAUUUGUAGGUACUGUAUGAAUAAGGACCGGCUAAUUCCGUGCCAGCCGCCGCAGUAA
This 506-nucleotide ribosomal RNA is filed under the name uncultured bacterium. RNAcentral's name for it is "partial 16S ribosomal RNA". It matches the Rfam family "Bacterial small subunit ribosomal RNA", at positions 28 to 523 of the family's 1533-position model. The record is from RNAcentral.